Molecule: ribosomal RNA, 807 nt
Filed under: Vibrio cholerae
Lineage: Bacteria; Pseudomonadati; Pseudomonadota; Gammaproteobacteria; Vibrionales; Vibrionaceae
Description: partial 23S ribosomal RNA
Rfam family: Bacterial large subunit ribosomal RNA
Source: RNAcentral
UGUAUGGUUAAGUGACUAAGCGUACACGGUGGAUGCCUGGGCAGUCAGAGGCGAUGAAGGACGUACUAACUUGCGAUAAGCGCAGAUAAGGCAGUAAGAGCCGUUUGAGUCUGCGAUUUCCGAAUGGGGAAACCCAACUGCAUAAGCAGUUACUGUUAACUGAAUACAUAGGUUAACAGAGCAAACCGGGGGAACUGAAACAUCUAAGUACCCCGAGGAGAAGAAAUCAACCGAGAUUCCGGUAGUAGCGGCGAGCGAACCUGGAUUAGCCCUUAAGCACUCGGUGAAGUAGGUGAACAAGCUGGAAAGCUUGGCGAUACAGGGUGAUAGCCCCGUAACCGACGCUUCAUCGAGCGUGAAAUCGAGUAGGGCGGGACACGUGAUAUCCUGUCUGAAUAUGGGGGGACCAUCCUCCAAGGCUAAAUACUCCUGACUGACCGAUAGUGAACCAGUACCGUGAGGGAAAGGCGAAAAGAACCCCUGUGAGGGGAGUGAAAUAGAACCUGAAACCGUGUACGUACAAGCAGUAGGAGCACCUUCGUGGUGUGACUGCGUACCUUUUGUAUAAUGGGUCAGCGACUUAUAUUCAGUGGCAAGGUUAACCGUAUAGGGGAGCCGUAGCGAAAGCGAGUCUUAACUGGGCGCUCAGUCUCUGGAUAUAGACCCGAAACCGGGUGAUCUAGCCAUGGGCAGGUUGAAGGUUGAGUAACAUCAACUGGAGGACCGAACCGACUAAUGUUGAAAAAUUAGCGGAUGACUUGUGGCUAGGGGUGAAAGGCCAAUCAAACUCGGAGAUAGCUGGUUCUC